Molecule: long non-coding RNA, 433 nt
Filed under: Gorilla gorilla gorilla (western lowland gorilla)
Lineage: Eukaryota; Metazoa; Chordata; Mammalia; Primates; Hominidae
Description: lncRNA (ENSGGOG00000044364.1)
Source: RNAcentral
UGUAAGGUCACGGUCACAGGAGACUGGGCAACUCCAGUUCUCCCUGUCCCCAGCCCUUCGCCUGGCCCUGGCAAAAGCCCAUUGCAUCAACAGCUUCUACUGCUUCCGCCUGCGCCCUACCUGCCAAGCUUGGGCAGGAAGAGGGAAGGAAAGAGAAACUUUACGCCAAUCCCCCCUCUUCUGCUAACUUCCCCUCCCACCCUCGGGCCCUAACUAGCCCCGGGGACGCCUCCUCCCCACCAACGCAUCCAUCCCCAGAGGAACAAGUGAGGAUCUCAGAGCGCGACCUGGACAGGUCCCAUACAGAAAGAAGAAAGAGACAACCUGAAUCACAUUCAAAAGAGAGUCUCCACAAUAGUGAGGGCUGCAAAACCAUGUGACAUGAAAACCAAGAGAAUGAAUUACAUAGAUUUGUUUAACCUAAGGAAGAAAA